Molecule: long non-coding RNA, 777 nt
Filed under: Coturnix japonica (Japanese quail)
Lineage: Eukaryota; Metazoa; Chordata; Aves; Galliformes; Phasianidae
Description: lncRNA (ENSCJPG00005002480.1)
Source: RNAcentral
GAAGCAAACCAUGAAAGGCAGAGACUGUGUUACAGUCAGUUUCCCAAGUCUCUGCAGCUUAUCUAACACAAGACUCCCUGGAUUCUUUCCCACUACUGGGGCCUCUGCUUGGACAGUCUCCAUCUGCUGAAGUACAGCCUUUGAGGUUUGCAAGUCCAGCAGCCAUGUCAGUGAACUCGCUGGGUCGAUGCCUGGUGUGUGCCUGUGUUAAACCAGUUGCAGUCUGAGCUGGCACUGUCACUUGGAACCAGCAGCCGAGUUAUUGUGAAAAUGAAUAUACCCACCGGAUGCAAGGGCUGCUUAAGAUGCCAAUGUUACCGCCUGUGAAGAAAUUGCAGAACUUGACCCCACUGCCCGUGGAUAGAAAUAUAAGGGGAAGGAAAAGACUUUAUCUUAUACAUGUCAUCUGGUUCCAAGUAAAACUAAGGAGUACUUCUCCCUUGCAAAGAAGGUGUUUAGCGGCAAAAGAUUUUAGUAAAUACGUUCUAAAAUGUUUUGAAGUGUCUAUAGAAGUAUUUUUUCCAAUGAAAAUGUGAAAUUCAUCGCCCUCUUAUUAUUGUGCAAAAAUUGAGAGAACAGGUUGUGUCUCAUAUUGUCAGGGCAUAGGUUUCUGGUCUGUUCUGGCCUGAACUGUUUAUAACAACUGAGAAAGAUUUGUACUCCAGUCAUUCUUUUAUUUCAUGUUUAUGUAGAACUCAUUCCAAAGGGCCUCCUAUAUCUGUUUCAUUUUCCCUUCUGUAAAAUAAACAACAGAAUUUUACUACUUCUGUGGGAUUU